AAUGAACGUUGGCGGCGUGGAUUAGGCAUGCAAGUCGAGCGUACCCAGCAAUGGGGAAGCGGCAAACGGGGUAGUAAGGCGUCGGUACGUGCCUCCUGGACGGGGACAGCCACGGGAAACUGUGGGUAAUACCCGAUGACAUCGCGAGAUCAAAGGUGUGAUUCCGCCGGGAGAGCGGCUGACGUGGUAUUAGGUAGUUGGUAAGGUAAUGGCUUACCAAGCCUGGGAUGCCUAGGGGGUGUGAGAGCAUGGCCCCCACCAUUGGGACUGAGACACUGCCCAGACACCUACGGGUGGCUGCAGUCGAGGAUCUUCGGCAAUGGGCGCAAGCCUGACCGAGCGACGCCGCGUGCGGGAUGAAGGCCCUCGGGUUGUAAACCGCUGUCAGGGGGGAUGAAGUGCAUCGGGGUUCUCCCCGGUGUUUGACAGAGCCCCAGAGGAAGCGCGGGCUAAGUUCGUGCCAGCCGCCGCCGUAACAC
This 479-nucleotide ribosomal RNA is filed under the name uncultured bacterium. RNAcentral describes it as "bacterial SSU rRNA". It matches the Rfam family "Bacterial small subunit ribosomal RNA", at positions 28 to 526 of the family's 1533-position model. The record is from RNAcentral.